UGGUGGAUUUCUAAGAAGGAGGUUGACAAU
Molecule: non-coding RNA, 30 nt
Filed under: Rattus norvegicus (Norway rat)
Lineage: Eukaryota; Metazoa; Chordata; Mammalia; Rodentia; Muridae
Source: RNAcentral